UAAUGGAGGGUGGUUCCAAUAGCACUUCUUGUAUGAUGGCUUUUGGAGACAACAGUGAUGGACUAUGUCCUAUGAUGAUGAUGAUGCCUCUCAUGACUUCUCAUCAUCAUCCGCCUCCUCCCCCUCCACCUCCUAACGGAGACUCAUCAUCAAAUACCCUAUUCCUUCCUCUCCCUUCCACCAACAAUCAACACCAAAACCGUAAUAGUGGCUAGUGGCUCUUCUGUGCUUCUUGACGAACACAACCACUAUUACGGUUUUGGUGUUGAUUGU
Molecule: unclassified non-coding RNA, 273 nt
Filed under: Hevea brasiliensis (rubber tree)
Lineage: Eukaryota; Viridiplantae; Streptophyta; Magnoliopsida; Malpighiales; Euphorbiaceae
Source: RNAcentral